RNAcentral lists this ribosomal RNA (497 nucleotides) under uncultured bacterium. RNAcentral's name for it is "partial 16S ribosomal RNA". It matches the Rfam family "Bacterial small subunit ribosomal RNA", at positions 28 to 507 of the family's 1533-position model. The record is from RNAcentral.
GAUGAACGCUGGCGGCGUGCCUAAUACAUGCAAGUCGAGCGAACGGACGAGAAGCUUGCUUUUCUGAUGUUAGCGGCGGACGGGUGAGUAACACGUGGAUAACCUACCUAUAAGACUGGGAUAACUUCGGGAAUCCGGAGCUAAUACCGGAUAAUAUUUUGAACCGCAUGGUUCAAAAGUGAAAGACGGUCUUGCUGUCACUUAUAGAUGGAUCCGCGCUGCAUUAGCUAGUUGGUAAGGUAACGGCUUACCAAGGCAACGAUGCAUAGCCGACCUGAGAGGGUGAUCGGCCACACUGGAACUGAGACACGGUCCAGACUCCUACGGGAGGCAGCAGUAGGGAAUCUUCCGCAAAGGGCGAAAGCCUGACGGAGCAACGCCGCGUGAGUGAUGAAGGUCUUCGGAUCGUAAAACUCUGUUAUUAGGGAAGAACAUAUGUGUAAGUAACUGUGCACAUCUUGACGGUACCUAAUCAGAAAGCCACGGCUAACUACGUG